Long non-coding RNA from Cololabis saira (Pacific saury), 545 nucleotides. RefSeq lists it as uncharacterized. The record is from RefSeq and is a predicted model, not a curated record. Lineage: Eukaryota; Metazoa; Chordata; Actinopteri; Beloniformes; Belonidae. The transcript is spliced from 4 exons.
CAACACACACGGCGCGGGGAAGACGUGCGUGUACGAGCCGGACGGGCCCCUGCUGGCCGGAUACCACGAGCGAUACUUCUCCGGGUCCAGCGUCCAGAAGCACAUCGAUGAAGACCUGCUGCCGUUCCAGUGGUGUUGUACCGAGUCUCCUCUGUGCCAGCUUUACCUCAACAAGAGGCCGGCGGACGACUGCAGGGGUCCCAGCUGGACCGGCCCCGGCUCCUCCCCGUCCAGGGCCACACCCGGCACCGCGCUGGUGUACGGCAGCCUCCACUUCAUCACCUUCGACGGGGCGGAGUUUUCCUUCAGGGCCCUGGGGGAGUUUGUGAUCCUGCGUCUUUCUUCCGCCACCGGCUCCAACAUCUUCACCCUGCAAGGGCAGAGCGACCGGCUGCUCAGCGACGCCGGGGCGGCCCUGGAAGUCCCGGCGCUGGUGCGCUUGGCGGCGUACCACCAGGGCAUCGGCAAGAUUGAAUGGAGGUGUUCGGAGACGCACGGCGGGCUGCAGGUUCUGGUGGAUGAUGUCGACGUCCCAGUCAGAGAUG